AACGCAUCUUGCGCUCCUUGGUAUUCCGAGGAGCAUGCCUGUUUGAGUGUCAUUAAAUUCUCAACUCUCUAUACUUUGUUGUAUAGUGGAGCUUGGAUUGUGGGGGUCUGCUGGCCGCUUAUUGUGGUCAGCUCUCCUGAAAUGCAUUAGCGGAACCGUUUGCGAUCUGCCACAAGUGUGAUAAUUAUCUACACUGGCGAGGGGAUUGCUCUCUGAUGUUCAGCUUCUAAUCGUCUCGAUAUACUGAGACAAUUUUUGAACGUUUGACCUCAAAUCAGGUAGGACUACCCGCUGAACUUAA
This 301-nucleotide unclassified non-coding RNA is filed under the name uncultured Agaricales. RNAcentral's name for it is "sequence contains 5.8S rRNA gene, ITS2, 28S rRNA gene". The stretch from base 1 to 52 matches the Rfam family "5.8S ribosomal RNA", at positions 103 to 154 of the family's 154-position model. Lineage: Eukaryota; Fungi; Basidiomycota; Agaricomycetes; Agaricales. The record is from RNAcentral.